RNAcentral lists this transfer RNA (71 nucleotides) under Prevotella sp. RNAcentral describes it as "tRNA-Gly". It matches the Rfam family "tRNA". Rfam says of the family: Transfer RNA (tRNA) molecules are approximately 80 nucleotides in length. Their secondary structure includes four short double-helical elements and three loops (D, anti-codon, and T loops). Lineage: Bacteria; Pseudomonadati; Bacteroidota; Bacteroidia; Bacteroidales; Prevotellaceae. The record is from RNAcentral.
GCGGGAUUAGCACAUCGGUAGUGCAGCGGCUUCCCAAGCCGCGGAGGUGGGUUCGACUCCCAUGUUCCGCU